Long non-coding RNA from Schistocerca gregaria, 746 nucleotides. RefSeq lists it as uncharacterized. Lineage: Eukaryota; Metazoa; Arthropoda; Insecta; Orthoptera; Acrididae. The record is from RefSeq and is a predicted model, not a curated record. The transcript is spliced from 3 exons.
AGCAGGAAGCGAGAGCAGGCCCACCGCCCGGCGCCGCGCCAAGGUCUCACGCAUGCGCCAAGUCCUGCGUCCGCAUGGCCCAGUGGUGGUUACCUAUACACUGCUUACUAGUGAUGGGCUUCACUGCGAUUUUCCGAUAUCAGUGAUUUCUGUGAAUGCUACUUUUCAGUAUCUGGUAUUCUUAACUGUGAUUUGUCGCAGUUAAGAGCCGCAGUUAAGGAACGUAGGUCGUGUAUCCUUCCGCCACUGCUUUUUCUGCGAUUUCUGCUACUUCUGCGAUUUCUGUGACUUCUGCUACUUCUGCGAUUUCUGUGACUUCUGCUACUUCUGCGAUUUCUGUGACUCCUGCGAUUUUUGCGACUUACCACCGUAUGAAAAAGUUACAUCUGCCCACACAGAAAAUUGCAUCUCAACAAACCUGUCAUUGGUACCGGAACUACAUUUCAGUCACUCAGUAAAUUGAUAACUCAAAAUAUCAUUGUCACCAGAUCUGGAGAAAUUGCCACUGCGUCUUUAGACCGUUUUCGUCAGACGAGAGACACAGUUCUGACUCUUGAUUACUGGUUGCUGUGCGUAUUUAUCCACAUCAAGUCUGUUGAGAGAGACUCAUGAAGAUUCAAGACAGCUCUUAGAGGAUUUGCAUUUUAAAAGUGACAUAAUUGUGAAAUAAGUGUGCAGAUGAUUGAUUAAACUGUGUUUUAUUGAAGUUGUUAUGCAAUUUUAAAGGAAUAAUAAAUGUUAAAUAC